RNAcentral lists this long non-coding RNA (776 nucleotides) under Pan troglodytes (chimpanzee). RNAcentral describes it as "lncRNA (ENSPTRG00000052993.1)". Lineage: Eukaryota; Metazoa; Chordata; Mammalia; Primates; Hominidae. The record is from RNAcentral.
GGGGGCGGCAGGGAAGAGUUCCAGGAGGUGUCUGGACAAAGAUUUGAUGGAUGUGCAAGAAUUGGGCUGAUGCUUAGGAGGGGCGAUGAGGUGGGUCCAGAAGAAGGGGGGUGAACGGUGUGAGCAAAGACCGUGAGGCUGGAGGCUGGCCACGGGAGGUGUGAGGGGUAGGGGCAGGGUGGGAGGUGGGCUCGCGGGUGGGCUGGGGUCAUGAAGGGCCUCAGGCGCUCUGCUAUUGGGUUCCAAGGCUAUCCUGAGAACAGGGGUGAGGGGGGAUUGCCGUGGGGGGUUAAAGCCUUGUCAUGUUCGCUUUCGGGAGGUAAAAACAACAGGUGGCCUUUAUGGAGACGCUGCCCAGAGCCAGGUCUGUGCCAGGCUCCUGUUGGGGGUCGUCAUGCGGAAUCCUGACUCUGACCAUCCGAGGCAUAGGGACCGUGGAGAUUUGCAUUUCACAGAUGAGGAAACAGGCUCCAGGCUCCUCGCCGGGACAGUGUCUCCUUGGGUGCGUGCUGGAUCCCUGGGGGACGUGGCACAUCCCCAGGCUUGCUAAACAUUGGGCUCUGGUCCUGGGGUUUGGAGGAGGGGGACCCUGGGAGUUGGUGGCCUGUCCCAGCCUGAGCUGGCAAGAUUCCGAAUGCCAGGCCCCUCAAGUGUGCAACAGGGCACAGGGUGACCUCAUGUGGGCAGGUGGGUGCUGUUCUGUACACACCUGGGGCCGCCGCUGGGAGAGUUCUGGAAGGUGGGGUGAGGGGACCCAUGGGAAGCUAGGGCCUUAG